AUUACAAUGGUAUUAGAGCUUCUAAGCUCACUGUUUAAGUAGAAUGUUUCACUCUUUAGAGAGCCAUGAAAACAUUCUAUUGGGGCAUUAUCAGC
This 95-nucleotide non-coding RNA is filed under the name Mammaliicoccus lentus. Lineage: Bacteria; Bacillati; Bacillota; Bacilli; Caryophanales; Staphylococcaceae. The record is from RNAcentral.